CAGUCGCCGCGGUAAUACGGAGGGUGCAAGCGUUAAUCGGAAUUACUGGGCGUAAAGCGUGCGUAGGCGGUUCGUUAAGUCUGUUGUGAAAGCCCCGGGCUCAACCUGGGAAUGGCAAUGGAUACUGGCGAGCUAGAGUGUGUCAGAGGAUGGUGGAAUUCCCGGUGUAGCGGUGAAAUGCGUAGAGAUCGGGAGGAACAUCAGUGGCGAAGGCGGCCAUCUGGGACAACACUGACGCUGAGGCACGAAAGCGUGGGGAGCAAACAGGAUUAGAUACCCGUGUAGUCCCUGUCUCUUAUAC
Molecule: ribosomal RNA, 301 nt
Filed under: uncultured bacterium
Lineage: Bacteria
Description: partial 16S ribosomal RNA
Rfam family: Bacterial small subunit ribosomal RNA
Source: RNAcentral